CCCUCCCCAAGCCUGCAGAGUGCGCUGCGUUUCGAUGAGCCGGGACGUGGCGCCGCUCUAGCCAGCGCCUGGGCUCUGUGGCGGGCGCCGCAGCUCCGCGUCCCCCGCGCCUCCUCCCAGCGCAGACUUCAAGGGCUACCACUGGACCCUUCCCCUGUCUUGAACCCUGAGCCGGCACCAUGGUCAGCUUCUGCAAGGCAACCUGCACUCUUCCAACCCGUUCAUCCUUGUAGCACGGACGCCUGAAGGUGAAGACGUCAGAAGAGCAGGCGGAGGCCAAAAGGCUAGAGCGAGAGCAGAAGCUGAAGCUAUACCAGUCAGCCACCCAGGCCGUAUUCCAGAAGCGCCAGGCUGGUGAGCUGGAUGAGUCCGUGCUGGAACUGACAAGCCAGAUUCUGGGAGCCAACCCUGAUUUUGCCACCCUCUGGAACUGCCGACGAGAGGUGCUCCAGCAGCUGGAGACUCAGAAGUCUCCUGAAGAGUUGGCUGCUCUGGUGAAGGCAGAACUGGGCUUCCUGGAGAGCUGCCUGCGGGUGAACCCCAAGUCUUAUGGUACCUGGCACCACCGAUGCUGGCUGCUAGGCCGCCUGCCUGAGCCCAACUGGACCCGAGAGCUGGAGCUCUGUGCCCGUUUCCUGGAGGUGGAUGAGCGGAACUUUCACUGCUGGGACUAUCGGCGGUUUGUGGCCACACAGGCAGCCGUGCCCCCUGCAGAAGAGCUAGCCUUCACUGACAGCCUCAUCACCCGAAACUUCUCCAACUACUCUUCCUGGCAUUACCGCUCCUGUCUCUUGCCCCAGCUGCACCCCCAGCCGGAUUCUGGACCACAGGGGCGCCUCCCUGAGGAUGUGCUGCUCAAAGGUUUAUUGAGCACCUACUUCAUGCGUGG
This 889-nucleotide unclassified non-coding RNA is filed under the name Homo sapiens (human). Its description in RNAcentral is "Rab geranylgeranyltransferase subunit alpha (ENSG00000285193.1)". Lineage: Eukaryota; Metazoa; Chordata; Mammalia; Primates; Hominidae. The record is from RNAcentral.